AGCGAACGCUGGCGGCAGGCCUAACACAUGCAAGUCGAACGAACUCUUCGGAGUUAGUGGCGGACGGGUGAGUAACACGUGGGAACGUGCCUUUUGGUUCGGAAUAACUCAGGGAAACUUGUGCUAAUACCGAAUGUGCCCUUCGGGGGAAAGAUUUAUCGCCAUUAGAGCGGCCCGCGUCUGUUUAGCUAGUUGGUGAGGUAACGGCUCACCAAGGCGACGAUCAGUAGCUGGUCUGAGAGGAUGACCAGCCACACUGGGACUGGGACACGGCCCAGACUCCUACGGGAGGCAGCAGUGGGGAAUCUUGCGCAAUGGGCGAAAGCCUGACGCAGCCAUGCCGCGUGAAUGAUGAAGGUCUUAGGAUUGUAAAAUUCUUUCACCGGGGACGAUAAUGACGGUACCCGGAGAAGAAGCCCCGGCUAACUUCGUG
This 433-nucleotide ribosomal RNA is filed under the name uncultured bacterium. Its description in RNAcentral is "partial 16S ribosomal RNA". It matches the Rfam family "Bacterial small subunit ribosomal RNA", at positions 29 to 507 of the family's 1533-position model. The record is from RNAcentral.